UUCCAGGGGGAGUUGGUGGAGUUCCAGGUGGAGUUGGUGGAGUUCCAGGAGGAGUUGGUGGAUUUCCAGGGGGAGUUGGUGGAGUUCCAGGAGGAGUUGGUGGAGUUCCAGGUGGAGUUGGUGGAGUUCCAGGAGGAGUUGGUGGAUUUCCAGGGGGAGUUGGUGGAGUUCCAGGGGGAGUUGGUGGAGUUCCAGGAGGAGUUGGUGGAGUUCCAGGUGGAGUUGGUGGAGUUCCAGGAGGAAUUGGAGGAGUUAAACCGCCUAAAGUUUACAGCGGUACAGGUGGAACUGGAGCUCUUGGAGUUGGAGGUGUAGGUGGAAUGGGUCCAGCUGGAACAGGAGGAGCUGGACUUCUGCCUGGAGGUGGUGGUUUACUACCAGGAGGUUAUGGAGGAGCUGGAGGUUUAGGAGCCGGUGGGAUCCAACCAGGGACUGGUAAAUAUUUUUCAGAUUAAAACAAAACACCACAUUCCUGAUAUUUUAUGU
RNAcentral lists this long non-coding RNA (486 nucleotides) under Sinocyclocheilus grahami. Its description in RNAcentral is "lncRNA (ENSSGRG00000046708.1)". The record is from RNAcentral. Lineage: Eukaryota; Metazoa; Chordata; Actinopteri; Cypriniformes; Cyprinidae.